Erinaceus europaeus (western European hedgehog) is the source of this 2557-nucleotide long non-coding RNA. RefSeq lists it as uncharacterized. NCBI's taxonomy places the organism in Eukaryota, Metazoa, Chordata, Mammalia, Eulipotyphla, Erinaceidae. The transcript is spliced from 3 exons. The record is from RefSeq and is a predicted model, not a curated record.
CGAGGCGGGGGCCUCGCGAGCGGCGCGCGCUAUAAAAACCACACGCGGGGCGCGGCGGGAAUCUUCGGAAGGCAGACUUGCGGACACAUCACUGCUGUCCUUUCGUAACCACAGCGCCACCCUCCUGCUUGGCCCUAACCUUGCACAGGGAAAUAGACCCUGUCAGCCUCCUAGCAUCAUGGCAGAGCCUGCAGAGAGCAAGUCCACAGAGGAACUCCAGGACUGCAGAGCUGGAGGGCGUGUCAGUGACAAGACUUGAGAAGUUCGUGGGAGAGUAAUUCAGGAAAGGACACCGGAUACAUUCCAAGCUGAAGUAGGAUGGCGUGACUGCAGAGCAGAGCUAGAACUUGCGGACAAGAUGAGAACGAGAAUGCUGGGGGCGCCGAGCUCACGGGCAGCACCAGCAGCAGGUAUGUGCGCCGGCGCCGACGGGCAUCUGUGCAGCCAGACGGGCCGGGCGGUGCUGGGUGCUGGCUGUGGGGCAGCCCCUCCCCGCGGCCGUGCUGGGGAUCUGGGUUCUGAUCACCUCUGAGGACCCUGCUGCUCAUUUCUCUGUCUCCACCCGGGAGCCCCUCCCUCUGCUGGCGAGGACUUUGCUGGUUUUGGUUUUUAUCGCCAGGGUUUUUGUUGGGGCUCGGUGCCUGCACUAGGAAUCCACUGCCCCUGGAGGCUAUUUUUCCCUUUUGUUGCCCUUGUUUAUUGUUAUUGCUGUCCUUGCUGCAUAGGACAGAGAAAUCGAGAGGAAGGGAAAGACACCUGCAGAUCUGCUUCACCGCCUGUGAAGCGACUCCCCUGCAGGUGGGGAGCCAGGGGGCUCGAACAGGGAUCCUUACACUGACCCUUGCACUUUGCGCCACGUGCGCUUAACCCGCUGCGCUACCACCCAACUCCCUAAAGUGAGGACUCUGCACCACCACCCACCCACCUUGGUGAGAACUGAACCCACCCUGGGGCCUCAGUCCCAAGUUUAAGUUCCAACAAUCGGCUGAUUGCAAGGCCCUGCUUGUUCCAGAGCUGCGGGGCCGUUCUUGGGUUCAGGCCGCAGCUCUGCCACCCAUGGUUCUGAAGAUGAUGGACAGACUAUUGCCCCUCUGGGGCGAAGAAAAGAAGUGGGGGAUCAGGGCGUACUGUGGACUCGGCGUUCAGCAGAAGUCUGGUUUGCCCUGUUGCCAGGGUUGAACCUGGGAGCCUCGGGCCAUAGGUCUGUUUGCACAGCCGCAGUGCCGCCCACCAGCACUGGACUCUGGAGAAGACAGUCACCUCCCCCAGUCGUCCUUUGUUUGCGUCACAGCUUGUUCUUGUCUGGGGGUGCGCGCGUGUUUCAGAAAGUAAUCUCAGACCCGGACUGAGUAUUUAGCCCAAAACCAGCCGCAUCCCAUGCUCUGCGUGGCAGUAGAGCAGGACGGUUAGCGCUCUCGCUGGCCAUUUCUGCUGCCUACUGGGGGGGGGGGGCUGCUUGACCUGAGUGGAGGUGAGAAUUUCUGUGGAGGGUGGAUGCAGAUGAGGGGAGGGCAUUGCUGGUAAGGUGGGGAAGACCUGGGGGCUUGGACCCCUACCCCCCCCCCACUCAGGCAAGGGCAGCCUGCUGGGCACCUGUAACCUACCAGGCUCCUCACCGGACAGCUGGAGAUAGAGGGCCACACAUCUGCAUCCAGAGGUGGGUGGGUCGGGGCCUCUGAAGGCAGCUUUUCCUGGGGUGCAGCUGCUCCCGAAAAUCCUCCCUCCCAGAAGCUGGUGGCACAGGGACCCUGGCAAGGGUGGCAGUGACCUACAGCCACGCCUGACUGUCUGCCCUCCCCCAGCAGAAUUGAGAGCAAGCAACAGACUCCAGGACCGUGCCCAGGGCCCUGUGUGGGGCGCCUCAGGAAAGGAACUAUGGUGCCCCACAAAGCUUGAAGUCUCAGGAGAGGGGCCAGAGCCUCGAUGCCGGGACCUGUGCAAAGGUUUCGGAAGAAAAGGGACUGGGUGUUAAAGGAGGACUGCCAGGAAGGUCGCGCGGCAUCAGGAAGUGAAGCCCCAGAGCUGCUGGUUGGGCUUGUCUUGUGCCCCUGUGUUCAGAGGCCUCUGCCCUAGGAGUCAGGCUCCAGCCAAACAUUCUCGGUAAGAACAGAGGUGUGGACUUUACAUCUACGAUAAAUCAAGGGGGCUGGAGGAAGAGGUAGCGGGUGGAGUGAGUAUCCCGCCAUGUGCGUGGCCCGGGUUCGAGUCCUGGCACGGUGCAGGAGCCAGGGCAUGCAUCCCUGCGUCUGGGCUGGACCCGGGGCCUCUGCUCCGCACGUGAGCCUGGGGAGAAGGAGGGAUGCAGCCAGGCUUCCUGUGUUCGGGGUCCCUGAGACCUUCACCUGGGGCCCCCGUGAUGUCCAGCACUGGGCUCUGACCACCCCUGAGGACAUGGUGCCCCCCGGGACCUUUGACACCCGGGGGUCUGAGGGGCCCCGAUCUGCAGAGGUGCAUGUAGGGAUGGGAGUUGCUGCCCUCGGAGUCUGAUGUUUCUCCCUCUCUCCGUUCAGCACCACCUGAGACCAGGCCUCACCGCGGUGCGGCCAUCACAUUAAAG